CAUAUUUUUGCCUGACUCAAAGCCUCUCAAAAAGUGGGUGUGGACCUAUUCUCUCAAUUAAUUCUUCAAAAUUUCCUGCAAUCUUUCCUUACAAUUUUUCUGCACAUAUAUUUUAGAAGGUUUAUUAAGGAAUUUUAUCUCCCAGUUUCUUUCCUUCUUUGUUUUCUUUCGAACUGGCUGAGAUGUUUUGUUCUUAUAUAUAGGAGCUCCAAUUGCUGGUUCUGCUGCUGAUAAGCUGGAGGAAAUUAUUGGUUAUGUAAGCAUAGCUAGGCUACCCUUUUGGCUUAACUGCUUCAAUUCUGUUUGGGAGACCCUUUGAAAUGGAAGGACCUAAUUAUGAUGCUCAGAUGGUGGAUUUAAUUCUGGGUUUCCUUACAUCAUUGAAGGGAUCAACAGCCUAACCAACCAAAACAUUUGCACCACUAACUUGUAGAAUCAGCAGAAACAUAACUAAGUCAAAGUAAGGAUUGGCGCAUUUAGGUUUGAUUCCAGAAGAAGAAUUUGGGAUGUAGCAUUGAUCAAGGAAACGUUGGUGCUAUUUGUUAAAUGCGUCAGCAUGUAUUUGGACUACAGAAAUGAAAGUUUAGAUGAAUAAGUUCAAGCUAUCUCGUCAGAAUUACUCCACGUUUCGUGGAAUCUUUCAAUGAUUUGAAGCAUCGGACAUCAAUGCAGAGUCCACAUACAUCACAUGUGUACCUGAGCCCACGAAAAUAUUGAUUACACACAACACAGUUGUACAGAUCAUGUUCCCAUCGGUUCCAUGAAAGAAUGAGUUGGUUUUCGUGAUAUUGCCACUUUUUUCGCCUGGGUAAUUCUUUGCAGGUUUUGUCAAGAAAGAAAUUACAACUGUCACAACUAUAAAAUGGAGUUGAGAUUGUUAACAUGCACCCAUCACACUUUAGAUCAUCAUCAACCUUGUCAUUAAGGAUUAGGUUAUGUUCAUGACUGAAAUGAUUGAUCU
Long non-coding RNA from Populus nigra (black poplar), 961 nucleotides. RefSeq lists it as uncharacterized. The transcript has 2 exons. NCBI's taxonomy places the organism in Eukaryota, Viridiplantae, Streptophyta, Magnoliopsida, Malpighiales, Salicaceae. The record is from RefSeq and is a predicted model, not a curated record.